RNAcentral lists this ribosomal RNA (468 nucleotides) under uncultured bacterium. RNAcentral's name for it is "partial 16S ribosomal RNA". It matches the Rfam family "Bacterial small subunit ribosomal RNA", at positions 28 to 507 of the family's 1533-position model. The record is from RNAcentral.
GACGAACGCUGGCGGCGUGCUUAACACAUGCAAGUCGAACGGAAAGGCCCUGCUUUUGUGGGGUGCUCGAGUGGCGAACGGGUGAGUAACACGUGAGUAACCUGCCCUUGACUUUGGGAUAACUUCAGGAAACUGGGGCUAAUACCGGAUAGGAGCUCCUGCUGCAUGGUGGGGGUUGGAAAGUUUCGGCGGUUGGGGAUGGACUGGCGGCUUAUCAGCUUGUUGGUGGGGUAGUGGCUGACCAAGGCUUUGACGGGUAGCCGGCCUGGGUGGGUGACCGGCCACAUUGGGACUGAGAUACGGCCCAGACUCCUACGGGAGGCAGAAGGGGGGAAUAUUGCACAAUGGGCGGAGGCCUGAUGCAGAAACGCCGCGUGCGGGAUGGCGGCCUUCGGGUUGUAAACCGCUUUCGCCUGUGACGCAGCGUGAGUGACGGUAAUGGGUAAAGAAGCACCGGCUAACUACGUG